RNAcentral lists this ribosomal RNA (502 nucleotides) under uncultured bacterium. RNAcentral's name for it is "partial 16S ribosomal RNA". It matches the Rfam family "Bacterial small subunit ribosomal RNA", at positions 28 to 523 of the family's 1533-position model. The record is from RNAcentral.
GAUGAACGCUAGCGACAGGCCUAACACAUGCAAGUCGAGGGGCAGCACAUGCGUAGCAAUACAAUGGUGGCGACCGGCGCACGGGUGAGUAACACGUAUGCAACCUACCUGUAAGAGGGGAAUAACCCGGAGAAAUUCGGACUAACACCGCAUAAUACCUCGAAGCUGCAUGGCUUUGAGGUUAAAUAUUUAUAGCUUACAGAUGGGCAUGCGUAACAUUAGAUAGUUGGUGAGGUAACGGCUCACCAAGUCAACGAUGUUUAGGGGUUCUGAGAGGAAGGUCCCCCACACUGGUACUGAGACACGGACCAGACUCCUACGGGAGGCAGCAGUGAGGAAUAUUGGUCAAUGGGCGAGAGCCUGAACCAGCCAAGUCGCGUGAAGGAAGAAGGUUCUAUGGAUUGUAAACUUCUUUUGUAAGGGAUAAAAAAGCUUACGUGUAGGCUAUUGUAUGUACUUUACGAAUAAGGAUCGGCUAACUCCGUGCCAGCCGCCGCGGUAA